GUUCUUUGAUGUUGAACAAGGGGUUUGAGAUAAUAGAGUUGAUAGUUGAUGUGUAGUACUACUUACAGGUGCACUCUCAUUUACAAUUGUGUAUAAAAGAACAUUGUUGAGUCAUUGAUAUAUUUUAAAGCUACUAGAAAUCUAUAGGCCUUCUGUAUAUAGCCUUGUUAGGAAAAUGGUGGAUGGUAAUAGGUCCUUUCAUGUUUGUACGUGGAGGAUAGUUCCAUGUCUUUAUCUCCGAAUCAUUUAAGUCAUCAACCAUUCUCUUUUUCUCAUUCUACCAUGAAUUGCUGAUUGGGUUUGCAUGUCUUUAUCUCCAUAGCUCUCAUCCUUGGAGAUGGACUCUAUAACUUCAUCAAAGUACUGUCUUUCACCAUCAGAAGCUUCCAUGGUAGAUUGAAAUGGAAGGACCCUCAGAAUAGGCCCUUGUUUACAUGUUACCACAUUCACGCACAUGUUCGAUGAUAGCAAAAGGGGUGGGUAGUUCAAUUGCAAGAAGAGAAUCAUUGCACGCCCACCAAAUCAAUGGCUUUGGUGACCAGAAGGUGUGCGCUUUAGGAUUUUUAUUUAUU
Molecule: long non-coding RNA, 572 nt
Organism: Magnolia sinica
Lineage: Eukaryota; Viridiplantae; Streptophyta; Magnoliopsida; Magnoliales; Magnoliaceae
Exons: 3
Source: RefSeq, a predicted model, not a curated record